CCUACGGGGGGCUGCAGUGAGGAAUAUUGGUCAAUGGGCGGAAGCCUGAACCAGCCAAGUCGCGUGAGGGAGUAAGGCCCUACGGGUCGUAAACCUCUUUUGCCGGGGAGCAGUGCCCAGCUCGUGAGCUGGGAGGGAGCGUACCCGGAGACAAAGCAUCGGCUAACUCCGUGCCAGCAGCCGCGGUAAUACGGAGGAUGCGAGCGUUAUCCGGAUUUCUUGGGUUUGAAGGUUGCGUAGGCGGGCCUUCAGGCCGGCGGGAAAAUGGCGGGGCUCAACCCCGCCGAGCCGUCGGAACCGGGUGCCGUGAGUACCGGAGAGGUACGCGGAAUGCGUGGUGUAGCGGUGAAAUGCAUAGAUAUCACGCAGAACCCCGAUGGCGAAGGCAGCGUACCGGCCGGUCACUGACGCUGAGGCACGAAAGCGCGGGUAUCGAACAGGAUUAGAUACCCCUGUAGUC
RNAcentral lists this ribosomal RNA (460 nucleotides) under uncultured bacterium. RNAcentral describes it as "partial 16S ribosomal RNA". It matches the Rfam family "Bacterial small subunit ribosomal RNA", at positions 338 to 795 of the family's 1533-position model. The record is from RNAcentral.